CAUUAGAUAACUUAAAUUAAAGUAUUAACCUUUUAAGUUAAAAAUAGAUUAAUCUUCUAAUGA
This 63-nucleotide transfer RNA is filed under the name Tremex columba (pigeon tremex). Its description in RNAcentral is "tRNA-Lys". It matches the Rfam family "tRNA". Rfam says of the family: Transfer RNA (tRNA) molecules are approximately 80 nucleotides in length. Their secondary structure includes four short double-helical elements and three loops (D, anti-codon, and T loops). Lineage: Eukaryota; Metazoa; Arthropoda; Insecta; Hymenoptera; Siricidae. The record is from RNAcentral.